Biomphalaria pfeifferi is the source of this 500-nucleotide non-coding RNA. The record is from the annotation of a GenBank genome assembly. NCBI's taxonomy places the organism in Eukaryota, Metazoa, Mollusca, Gastropoda, Planorbidae.
AUCAAGCACCGAAAAAAUAAAUAAGGUGAGUUGUUUCUCAAAUUAGAAGUAUAUGACCUAUAUAAAAAGUGUAAACUAUCAACAAGUUCUUUUGUACAUAUAUCAUCAUCAAAUAUACUUCAUCAGUAGAAAGACAUCUUGCAGAAAAGUGUUGUCAUCAUGUAUCAAAAAGUAAAAUUCCCAUUUCAGACCUUGCGAUCUAUGGGGCAGAUGUUGUAAAGGACAUCUGUUUAUAUGACCCACUGUUAACGAGGUAUCAUGUGACCAGCACAAAGAUCAACCGCUUUUACUUUUCAUUAACUAAUGUCAGGUACCCAUUAAAGCUGGUUGGACUCAGAGGCGUCGUAAAGAUCCCGAAAUUAUAAUUCCUGUCUUCUCCAGGAUUUGAACUCAAGACUUUUCACUUCUGAAGCCAAUCGCUUAAUCACCUCCCCUCCUUCAUGUAUUAACAAGUUUUUUUCUUUCUUAUUUUUUUUCAGAAACCUUUGCUUGACAACAGA